GGGACACCGUGAUCAUGAAGGCGGUUCCCCCAGGGCGAGGCUGUUCCAUUGCACUGCGGAACGGUUGACCCCUGCGAUUAUCCCUAAUGUGGAUAACUCGGAUGCGUAAUUUUUGGUAGUGGGGACUGCGUACGCGCCGUCCCCCCAGAAUUCCCUCCAUGAAUUAGUUAGCGUCUUCUCGGAGGCCUUAUAUCAGGCAGUUUCUACCAAUAUUGGACAGAUAUAAUCGUUUGGUGGUACUUUUACAAAUCCGCGUUUAGUAUCGAGAUUAAAAUUAUGCUCGUUGUUGUCUCGUCCUCGAUGAUGAAAGAUAACUAGUGUAGUCCCGGCUUACAUCCUCUGGCGUCACACAAUUUUAAAGCUAAAAUAAAAUAUUUCUGAACGCAGUCGUACCUAGGUCCCACCACGCCAUCUAUACCUGUCAACUCAUUCGGUUUUCCGUGUUAAUGGCGUCACGUUUGCGGUCGUGAAAAAUUUGUUAUUUAGAGUGUUUUUUGUACUGAAUAUUCGAAAUAAUGGAAAUAAAAAGGAAAGGAGAACAUAAACUUCCUCUACUGAAAAAGAUUUGACGGUUGGAAAAGAAAAUAAUCAGUUUACCGGAAUCCGAUGACGAAGUUAAGGAGAUUGAAGGUGAAGUUGAAAGUGAAAAUGAGAAUGAUCAUCCUGAAACAGAAUUCCUUGAGGAUCUUAUCCUUGACGAGGAUUACAACAAAAAGAAGGAAUUAGGGGAUGAAGUACUGAAUAUACUAGGAGUGGCUCCCGCUCCAGCCCCUAAGAAUGCACUUCUGCUCAAACAAAUUGCUGAGAGAUGGUGCGAGAUCCUGGAGAAAGGACUGAAAAAAGAUGAAAAAGAAACAGUUACAAAAGACAAUCCAGCCUUCCAGAAUGUACUCAAGAUGUGUGCUCAAAAACAUAAUAAGGAAGUUGCCGCUGCUCUAAAUGACAGGGCUAAGAGAAGGGAUCAAGUAAUUGAAACCCGACAGAAACAAAUGUCCACAGCCUUGGCCUGUGUAGGCCAUGCUGUAUAGAUGUGUAUUGGAGAUCAUUAACAACUAAAACUGUAUUAAGAAACUGAAUGAAGCGGGUUAGCAGCUAAGUGAUUAUAUAUGUUCCGGAAACCAAUUGAUGUAGAAACUUGGCACUCUCAACAAUAAAAAGUAUCAAUCUAAGGACUCAUUACUUGAAACUGAGAAUGGAGAUUAUUUGUUUGAUAAUAAUCUGAUUGAAAAAAUAAAAACUGCAAGGGCAGUUCAAUAAUCAUGAAAGGAAUUAAAGGUGACAGUGAAUGAGAAAAAGAAGAACUUCAUAAGGUGACCUGAAAUCAGUGCUGAGAACGAGAACAAUCGUGCUUCAAACUGGUGGGGCCCUCCUCGGAUGUGAUCACAGAGGUUCCAGAGGUCAGGCGGGCCGACAUGCAAUCGUCAAAACCAGCCAGCAAGGAGACGAGGGUAAAAAUAAUGCUAAGGUAGGCAGAAUCAGUUUUUAUUCUUAACAAUUGGAAGCAAAUCACUAGUGAUCCUGUGAUAUUAUAUUGUGUCCAGGGUUAUAAAUAAUUACCUCAACAGGGGUCUCUACCCCUAAACAAUAAUUUGCUAUUGGUAGACCAACGGCAGAUUAAAUUAAAAUUUAAAUUGUUACUCAGUACGAAUGCCAUUGAAACAUGAUGGUUACAAGUGAUCGAUUCUGUUCUCCAGUCUUUGUUAUAAGAAACCAAAUGGUACCUAUGUUUCAUUUUGAAUUUGAAAAACUUAACACUUGUGAAUACUGAACAUUUUAAACUAGAGGAUUAUCGCACAGUAUGUAAGCUUAUACAGAAUAAUUAUUACCUAUUUAGUAACUUUAGAUCACAAAGAUGCAUAUUACCUGACUAAUAUAAAUGACUGUUGUUAAAAAGUAUUUAAGGUAAAGUAUUUAUUUAUUUUUAUGAAGGAAAACAUUACUAAGUAAAUGUUGUUGGACUUUAGAAAAUUACAGCAAAUUACAGCUGCUCUAUGAGAGAAAAGUUGCAUUUCAAUUAUUUAUAAUUGACAAUUAUCCGGGUAUUGGUAAAGACUAUAUUAUGUUUUAAUAAUAUGAACAUGAUUUUAGAUCUUAUCCACAUAAAGUUUUA
Long non-coding RNA from Ostrinia furnacalis (Asian corn borer), 2110 nucleotides. RefSeq lists it as uncharacterized. The transcript has 2 exons. NCBI's taxonomy places the organism in Eukaryota, Metazoa, Arthropoda, Insecta, Lepidoptera, Crambidae. The record is from RefSeq and is a predicted model, not a curated record.